This 627-nucleotide long non-coding RNA is filed under the name Sinocyclocheilus grahami. Its description in RNAcentral is "lncRNA (ENSSGRG00000027527.1)". The record is from RNAcentral. Lineage: Eukaryota; Metazoa; Chordata; Actinopteri; Cypriniformes; Cyprinidae.
CAAUGCCCUAGGUCGUGACCUGGCCCAGGCUCAUGCUCGACUCUCUGAUAUGACAGGAGAACUAAGUGAACAGCAGAAGUUAGAGUUGGAAAGACAUAAAGCUUUGGUGGUAGACCAGAAGAUUCAAUUGAGCAUGCUCACACAGAAGCUAACCAUGAUGUCACAACUAGUGCAACAGAAAGAUGACGAGACAAAGAAACUGGGAGAAAAACUGAGGUAUGACCAAAAAUGAGACAGUACAAUGGCUUCACAAAAAUUCAGACAUGAACUUUGAAUUAUAUAACAAGAAAAUCCUUUUGUUAGACAAACUGAAGAGGACCUGAAAAGUAAAGCAGCAGCAAACAGAGAGAUGGAGAACACAAGCCUUGUUCCACAUCAAACCUCAAGAAACACUAAAGAUGUGGCACUCAUGACAGCUCCAAAUGAUGUCAUCAAUCAGGGGUCAAAACACAAAGGUCAUCGCCGCGAGGAAGCGAUUUUUCAACAGCAGGAAGGUUUGCGUGACAUGAGAGAGCGAAUCAGAGCUCUAGAACAGAAGUGGCCUAGCAAGCAUCUGUCCCAGCAGGGGGAGCCAGAGAAACAGGGUCAGAUGAAGACUCGGAGACUUCAGAGAUCUGCAGCUCGGAG